Malaclemys terrapin pileata is the source of this 492-nucleotide long non-coding RNA. RefSeq lists it as uncharacterized. The transcript has 3 exons. The record is from RefSeq and is a predicted model, not a curated record. NCBI's taxonomy places the organism in Eukaryota, Metazoa, Chordata, Testudines, Emydidae.
AAAGGAGGGCUGCUGCAGCCCGAGUUGGUAUCCAGGGGCACAGGAAAUGGCUGGCUCAGCUGAGCGCGGUUGCAUCCGGUGCUGGCAGAGGCGAGAGUUUAGGGCUCCCAGAUGCUGCCACAAUCCCAGUGACAGCAGCUGUGCGCGGCUCCUGACUGGUCAGUGAUCGCAGCUGCUAGGGCCUCCAUUGUGAGCCCGGGCUGAGCCGCUGCUGCUCCCCAGCGGGGUCUGUGCGGGGAGAGACCUGCAUUAACCCACCUCCGUGCCCAGCCGGGGGGACUUUCUGCGGUGGCUGCAACCAGCCCCUGGGGCAGCCCCGGGCUCUGCCGACACCAGCCCCUGAGCCGGAGGCUGCAGCUUGAGUAAGAGCUCUCCUGAGAGAGGAGGUUGCCAGGACCCUGCGAUAACUGUAGCUGGACAAGCUCAGACAGAGAAAAAGAAAGAUUUUUCCAGUUUCCCAAACGUAAUGUGAUUUCUUGGCCAGAGGCAGAG